This 47-nucleotide small RNA is filed under the name Arabidopsis thaliana (thale cress). RNAcentral's name for it is "ATSL225190". The record is from RNAcentral. Lineage: Eukaryota; Viridiplantae; Streptophyta; Magnoliopsida; Brassicales; Brassicaceae.
CCGUCGGCGUCGGAGGACAUUUUAGCGGCGGAGGAUACGGUACUUUA